This is a non-coding RNA of Capsicum annuum, 111 nucleotides long. Lineage: Eukaryota; Viridiplantae; Streptophyta; Magnoliopsida; Solanales; Solanaceae. The record is from Rfam.
AGACUAUUGAUGGUGUGGACAAUCCUGAAGAAGAGCUUUGAACUGCUCCCAAGCAUGGUAGAGAUUCUCAUUUGUCUUUUAUUUGAAGCAUAAUAUCUCACUACAAAGUCU